AUGAUCAUUUUCCCGGCCGCCGUGUACGACGCUGCGUGCAGAAAAUGGAAACGCUCCACCGUCGUCAUGAUCGGCGGUGGAAGAGUGGUUCAGAAGUUGUAUGGUGUAUGGGGUCCGCGUGUACCAACUCAGAACCUCACUUUACAAAGCUUCUUCAUUACCCUUCGUUCUUUAAUUCCUUUUUCUGCAUUAGGGUUUGCUCCGAAUUCCACUCAAUCUUCUUCCAAUCGAAUAUAUUCUUCCUUUUUCCCCAUCGAUCUGCCACCAUUCUUUUCAUCUCUCCAAGUGUGAAUCCAAAUGGGCAAAAGGAAAAAGAAACAUAAAGCCUUAGUUCGUUUUCUUUUUCCUUCCGUUUUCAAGAACCCUGAAUCUCUCCCGCAAUUUCAAUUCUCGUCAUGCUAGUUUUCCAAAUCAGACUAGGAGCGGAACCAGAAACUGAAGAUUGAAGAAGAGGAACCACACCAUAGGAUGGAAUCUGCUACCCUUAAUAGAAUAAUUAGCAGGUUGCUUGAAACCGGGAGCAAAUCGGGGAAGCAGGCGCCGCUUUCUGAGACGGAAAUUACUCAGUUAUGCAUGGUCUCCAGGAAUAUCUUCUUAAGGCAACCAAAUCUUUUGGAAAUUGAAGCUCCUGUCUAUAUCUGCGGAGACAUCCAUGGCCAGUAUACUGAUCUUCUAAGGCUUCUUGAAUAUGGUGGAUUACCCCCUCAUUCGAACUACUUGUUCUUGGGGGACUAUGUAGAUCGUGGAAAGCAGAGCUUAGAAACCAUGUGCCUUCUCCUUGCAUAUAAAAUAAAAUAUCCUGAAAACUUCUUUCUUUUGAGGGGCAACCAUGAAUGUGCAUCUGUCAACCGUAUCUACGGAUUUUACGACGAAUGUAAACGGAGAUUCAACGUUAAACUCUGGAAGAUAUUCACAGACUGUUUCAAUUGCUUGCCUAUGGCUGCUCUGAUUGAUGAAAGGAUACUCUGUAUGCAUGGUGGACUGUCUCCUCACCUAGACACGUUGGAUCAGAUUAGGAACUUAAAGCGGCCUACUGAUGUUCCCGACAAAGGAUUAGUUUGUGAUCUUCUCUGGUCUGAUCCAAGUCAAGAAACACGAGGCUGGGGACCGAAUGAACGAGGGGUUUCUUACACGUUUGGAGUGGAUCGAGUUAUAGAGUUUCUUCGAAAGCAUGAUCUUGAUUUGAUUUGUAGAGCUCACCAGGGGAGUGGAUCGAGUUAUAGAGUUUCUUCGAAAGCAUGAUCUUGAUUUGAUUUGUAGAGCUCACCAGGUCGUGGAGGACGGGUACGAGUUUUUCGCAAAUCGAAAACUUGUAACAAUAUUUUCUGCUCCAAAUUACUGUGGAGAGUUUGAUAAUGCUGGUGCAAUGAUGCGCGUGGAUGAAAAUUUAAUGUGUUCGUUCCAAAUACUAAAACCAGCCGAUAAGAAGUCGAGGUUUGGCUUCGGCAGCAUGUCGUUGGGACGGUAGGGCAGUUCACCUAAAGUCGAGUCGUUUCUGGGAGGAAUCGGAUGAAACUCAUACCAUGUUCUUACCGAACUGCGUCAUCUGAUACAGGUUUCUUCCUUGAUGUAACAAACAUUAUGCUUUGUGCUCAUUGACACUUUAGAGAGCAUGUUUAUGAAUCUCACGACAGUUCUUGAGUCGGCUUGGCCCAA
This is an RNA transcript of Cucurbita maxima (winter squash), 1656 nucleotides long. It is a transcript of the gene named serine/threonine-protein phosphatase PP1-like, with no coding region annotated. NCBI's taxonomy places the organism in Eukaryota, Viridiplantae, Streptophyta, Magnoliopsida, Cucurbitales, Cucurbitaceae. The transcript has 5 exons. The record is from RefSeq and is a predicted model, not a curated record.